Molecule: ribosomal RNA, 253 nt
Filed under: uncultured bacterium
Lineage: Bacteria
Description: partial 16S ribosomal RNA
Rfam family: Bacterial small subunit ribosomal RNA
Source: RNAcentral
UACGUAGGGGGCAAGCGUUGUCCGGAAUUACUGGGCGUAAAGGGCGCGUAGGCGGCGACCCAAGUCAGAUGUGAAAGUCCUGGGCUUAACCGGGGAACUGCGUCUGAUACUGGAUGGCUUGAGUUCGGGAGAGGGAUGCGGAAUUCCAGGUGUAGCGGUGAAAUGCGUAGAUAUCUGGAGGAACACCGGUGGCGAAGGCGGCAUCCUGGACCGACACUGACACUGAGGAGCGAAAGCCAGGGGAGCAAACGGG